RNAcentral lists this ribosomal RNA (700 nucleotides) under uncultured bacterium. RNAcentral's name for it is "bacterial SSU rRNA". It matches the Rfam family "Bacterial small subunit ribosomal RNA", at positions 57 to 761 of the family's 1533-position model. The record is from RNAcentral.
GCAAGUCUACUUGAACUUCGGUUUGGGUGGCGGACGGGUGAGUAACGCGUAAAGAACUUGCCUCACAGUUAGGGACAACAUUUGGAAACGAAUGCUAAUACCUGAUAUUAUGAUUUUAGGGCAUCCUAAAAUUAUGAAAGCUAUAUGCGCUGUGAGAGAGCUUUGCGUCCCAUUAGCUAGUUGGAGGGGUAACGGCCCACCAAGGCGAUGAUCAGUAGCCGGUCUGAGAGGAUGAACGGCCACAUUGGGACUGAGACACGGCCCAGACUCCUACGGGAGGCAGCAGUGGGGAAUCUUCCGCAAUGGACGAAAGUCUGACGGAGCAACGCCGCGUGAGUGAUGACGGCCUUCGGGUUGUAAAGCUCUGUUAAUCGGGACGAAAGGCCUUCUUGCGAAUAGUGAGAAGGAUUGACGGUACCGGAAUAGAAAGCCACGGCUAACUACGUGCCAGCAGCCGCGGUAAUACGUAGGUGGCAAGCGUUGUCCGGAAUUAUUGGGCGUAAAGCGCGCGCAGGCGGAUCGGUCAGUCUGUCUUAAAAGUUCGGGGCUUAACCCCGUGAUGGGAUGGAAACUGCCAAUCUAGAGUAUCGGAGAGGAAAGUGGAAUUCCUAGUGUAGCGGUGAAAUGCGUAGAUAUUAGGAAGAACACCAGUGGCGAAGGCGACUUUCUGGACGAAAACUGACGCUGAGGCGCGAAAGCU